This 340-nucleotide ribosomal RNA is filed under the name uncultured bacterium. RNAcentral's name for it is "bacterial SSU rRNA". It matches the Rfam family "Bacterial small subunit ribosomal RNA", at positions 83 to 422 of the family's 1533-position model. The record is from RNAcentral.
UAGCAAUACUCAGUGGCGAACGGCGGAGUAAUACAUAAGCAACGUGCCCUGAAGACUGGGAUAGCGGUUCGAAAGGACCAGUAAUACCGGAUGUGGCCCUCACGAGACAUCUCGAGAGGAUUAAAUGGUUUUUCGCUUCAGGAGCGGCUUAUGACCUAUCAGCUUGUUGGCGAGGUAACGGCUCACCAAGGCGACGACGGGUAGGGGGUCUGAGAGGAUGAUCCCCCCGAGUGGGACUGAGACACGGCCCACACACCUACGGGUGGCAGCAGUUGGGAAUCUUGCACAAUGGGGGAAACCCUGAUGCAGCGACGCCGCGUGGAGGAUGACGGAUCUAGGU